Molecule: non-coding RNA, 117 nt
Organism: Candidatus Eisenbacteria bacterium RBG_16_71_46
Lineage: Bacteria; Candidatus Eiseniibacteriota
Source: Rfam
GGCGUAUUUUGCACAGGCGGAGCUCGACCGCCGAGCGAAGUGAUGGUGUCGUUCAUCGACGAUCACCGAGAGGCGUAUGGGGUCGAGCCGAUCUGCGCGGUGCUGCCGAUCGCCCCG